Molecule: ribosomal RNA, 253 nt
Filed under: uncultured bacterium
Lineage: Bacteria
Description: partial 16S ribosomal RNA
Rfam family: Bacterial small subunit ribosomal RNA
Source: RNAcentral
UACGAAGGGUGCAAGCGUUAAUCGGAAUUACUGCGCGUAAAGCGCGCGUAGGUGGUUCAGUAAGUUGGAAGUGAAAUCCCCGGGCUCAACCUGGGAAAUGCUUUCAAAACUGCUGAGCUAGAGUACGGUAGAGGGUGGUGGAAUUUCCUGUGUAGCGGUGAAAUGCGUAGAUAUAGGAAGGAACACCAGUGGCGAAGGCGACCACCUGGACUGAUACUGACACUGAGGUGCGAAAGCGUGGGGAGCAAACAGG